UGAAACAUCUUCGGGUUGUGAGGUUAAGCGACUAAGCGUACACGGUGGAUGCCCUGGCAGUCAGAGGCGAUGAAGGACGUGCUAAUCUGCGAUAAGCGUCGGUAAGGUGAUAUGAACCGUUAUAACCGGCGAUUUCCGAAUGGGGAAACCCAGUGUGUUUCGCUGGAUCAAGCUGAAAAUUGAAACACUGAACAAUGAAAGUUGUUCGUGAGUCUCUCAAAUUUUCGCAACUCUGAAGUGAAACAUCUUCGGGUUGUGAGGUUAAGCGACUAAGCGUACACGGUGGAUGCCCUGGCAGUCAGAGGCGAUGAAGGACGUGCUAAUCUGCGAUAAGCGUCGGUAAGGUGAUAUGAACCGUUAUAACCGGCGAUUUCCGAAUGGGGAAACCCAGUGUGUUUCGACACACUAUCAUUAACUGAAUCCAUAGGUUAAUGAGGCGAACCGGGGGAACUGAAACAUCUAAGUACCCCGAGGAAAAGAAAUCAACCGAGAUUCCCCCAGUAGCGGCGAGCGAACGGGGAGCAGCCCAGAGCCUGAAUCAGUGUGUGUGUUAGUGGAAGCGUCUGGAAAGGCGCGCGAUACAGGGUGACAGCCCCGUACACAAAAAUGCACAUAUUGUGAGCUCGAUGAGUAGGGCGGGACACGUGGUAUCCUGUCUGAAUAUGGGGGGACCAUCCUCCAAGGCUAAAUACUCCUGACUGACCGAUAGUGAACCAGUACCGUGAGGGAAAGGCGAAAAGAACCCCGGCGAGGGGAGUGAAAAAGAACCUGAAACCGUGUACGUACAAGCAGUGGGAGCCUCUUUAUGGGGUGACUGCGUACCUUUUGUAUAAUGGGUCAGCGACUUAUAUUCUGUAGCAAGGUUAACCGAAUAGGGGAGCCGAAGGGAAACCGAGUCUUAACUGGGCGUUAAGUUGCAGGGUAUAGACCCGAAACCCGGUGAUCUAGCCAUGGGCAGGUUGAAGGUUGGGUAACACUAACUGGAGGACCGAACCGACUAAUGUUGAAAAAUUAGCGGAUGACUUGUGGCUGGGGGUGAAAGGCCAAUCAAACCGGGAGAUAGCUGGUUCUCCCCGAAAGCUAUUUAGGUAGCGCCUCGUGAACUCAUCUCGGGGGGUAGAGCACUGUUUCGGCAAGGGGGUCAUCCCGACUUACCAACCCGAUGCAAACUGCGAAUACCGGAGAAUGUUAUCACGGGAGACACACGGCGGGUGCUAACGUCCGUCGUGAAGAGGGAAACAACCCAGACCGCCAGCUAAGGUCCCAAAGUCAUGGUUAAGUGGGAAACGAUGUGGGAAGGCCCAGACAGCCAGGAUGUUGGCUUAGAAGCAGCCAUCAUUUAGAUGUAACGGGGCUAAACCAUGCACCGAAGCUGCGGCAGCGACACUAUGUGUUGUUGGGUAGGGGAGCGUUCUGUAAGCCUGUGAAGGUGUACUGUGAGGUAUGCUGGAGGUAUCAGAAGUGCGAAUGCUGACAUAAGUAACGAUAAAGCGGGUGAAAAGCCCGCUCGCCGGAAGACCAAGGGUUCCUGUCCAACGUUAAUCGGGGCAGGGUGAGUCGACCCCUAAGGCGAGGCCGAAAGGCGUAGUCGAUGGGAAACAGGUUAAUAUUCCUGUACUUGGUGUUACUGCGAAGGGGGGACGGAGAAGGCUAUGUUGGCCGGGCGACGGUUGUCCCGGUUUAAGCGUGUAGGCUGGUUUUCCAGGCAAAUCCGGAAAAUCAAGGCUGAGGUGUGAUGACGAGGCACUACGGUGCUGAAGCAACAAAUGCCCUGCUUCCAGGAAAAGCCUCUAAGCAUCAGGUAACAUCAAAUCGUACCCCAAACCGACACAGGUGGUCAGGUAGAGAAUACCAAGGCGCUUGAGAGAACUCGGGUGAAGGAACUAGGCAAAAUGGUGCCGUAACCGGGUGAAGGAACUAGGCAAAAUGGUGCCGUAACUUCGGGAGAAGGCACGCUGAUAUGUAGGUGAAGUCCCUCGCGGAUGGAGCUGAAAUCAGUCGAAGAUACCAGCUGGCUGCAACUGUUUAUUAAAAACACAGCACUGUGCAAACACGAAAGUGGACGUAUACGGUGUGACGCCUGCCCGGUGCCGGAAGGUUAAUUGAUGGGGUUAGCGCAAGCGAAGCUCUUGAUCGAAGCCCCGGUAAACGGCGGCCGUAACUAUAACGGUCCUAAGGUAGCGAAAUUCCUUGUCGGGUAAGUUCCGACCUGCACGAAUGGCGUAAUGAUGGCCAGGCUGUCUCCACCCGAGACUCAGUGAAAUUGAACUCGCUGUGAAGAUGCAGUGUACCCGCGGCAAGACGGAAAGACCCCGUGAACCUUUACUAUAGCUUGACACUGAACAUUGAGCCUUGAUGUGUAGGAUAGGUGGGAGGCUUAGAAGUGUGGACGCCAGUCUGCAUGGAGCCGACCUUGAAAUACCACCCUUUAAUGUUUGAUGUUCUAACGUUGACCCGUAAUCCGGGUUGCGGACAGUGUCUGGUGGGUAGUUUGACUGGGGCGGUCUCCUCCUAAAGAGUAACGGAGGAGCACGAAGGUUGGCUAAUCCUGGUCGGACAUCAGGAGGUUAGUGCAAUGGCAUAAGCCAGCUUGACUGCGAGCGUGACGGCGCGAGCAGGUGCGAAAGCAGGUCAUAGUGAUCCGGUGGUUCUGAAUGGAAGGGCCAUCGCUCAACGGAUAAAAGGUACUCCGGGGAUAACAGGCUGAUACCGCCCAAGAGUUCAUAUCGACGGCGGUGUUUGGCACCUCGAUGUCGGCUCAUCACAUCCUGGGGCUGAAGUAGGUCCCAAGGGUAUGGCUGUUCGCCAUUUAAAGUGGUACGCGAGCUGGGUUUAGGUAGCUAAAUGCGGAAGAGAUAAGUGCUGAAAGCAUCUAAGCACGAAACUUGCCCCGAGAUGAGUUCUCCCUGACGAAGGAACGUUGAAGACGACGACGUUGAUAGGCCGGGUGUGUAAGCGCAGCGAUGCGUUGAGCUAACCGGUACUAAUGAACCGUGAGGCUUAACCUU
This 3008-nucleotide ribosomal RNA is filed under the name Shigella dysenteriae 1617. RNAcentral describes it as "bacterial LSU rRNA". It matches the Rfam family "Bacterial large subunit ribosomal RNA". Lineage: Bacteria; Pseudomonadati; Pseudomonadota; Gammaproteobacteria; Enterobacterales; Enterobacteriaceae. The record is from RNAcentral.